UACAGAGGGUGCUAGCGUUGUUCGGAAUCAUUGGGCGUAAAGGGCGUGUAGGCGGUUUGCUAAGUCAUGUGUGAAAUCCCUCGGCUCAACCGGGGAACGACGCAUGAAACUGGCAAGCUAGAGUACCAAAGAGGGGGGUGGAAUUCCCGGUGUAGCGGUGAAAUGCGUAGAUAUCGAGAGGAACACCUGCGGCGAAGGCGGGUUGCUGGGCUGAUGACUGACGCUGAGGCGCGAAAGCCAGGGGAGCGAACGGG
Molecule: ribosomal RNA, 254 nt
Filed under: uncultured bacterium
Lineage: Bacteria
Description: partial 16S ribosomal RNA
Rfam family: Bacterial small subunit ribosomal RNA
Source: RNAcentral